RNAcentral lists this ribosomal RNA (253 nucleotides) under uncultured bacterium. RNAcentral describes it as "partial 16S ribosomal RNA". It matches the Rfam family "Bacterial small subunit ribosomal RNA", at positions 524 to 776 of the family's 1533-position model. The record is from RNAcentral.
UACGAAGGGAGCUAGCGUUGUUCGGAAUUACUGGGCGUAAAGGGCGCGUAGGCGGUUUGUUAUGUCAGAUGUGAAAGCCCCGGGCUUAACCUGGGAACUGCAUUUGAAACUGGCAGACUAGAGAUCGAGAGAGGAAAGUGGAAUUACAAGUGUAGAGGUGAAAUUCGUAGAUAUUUGUAAGAACACCAGUGGCGAAGGCGACUUUCUGGCUCGAUUCUGACGCUAAGGCGCGAAAGCGUGGGGAGCAAACAGG